Molecule: long non-coding RNA, 837 nt
Filed under: Heterocephalus glaber (naked mole-rat)
Lineage: Eukaryota; Metazoa; Chordata; Mammalia; Rodentia; Bathyergidae
Description: lncRNA (ENSHGLG00000048742.1)
Source: RNAcentral
CUUGGCUGUGGGAGAUGGAGAGGAGCUCAGUGCUACUGGGAGCACUGAGGUGGGGACGUGGCUACCGACCGAUGGCAGAAGAUGGAGAGAGGCGCGCAUGGCAGCGCAGCAGCCACUUGGCCCAGUAGUGGGAGCAGAGCUCGGCGUUCAGGAAGUGGGCAUGUGCGGGGGGAGCCAUCCUUGUAGGCCACCACGAUCAGGCCGCACUGCACCUGCGCAGAGAUGGGCGAUGCCAGGGUUCCUGUGAGCCCACAGCUCAGGUUUGUUACUUCAGGACCACAUCACCCUCAAGAGCGUCUCCUGACUACAGGAAAAUCUACCUCCAAGGUGGUGGUGACUAAAGACUGUACAUGGUGCUGGGUGUGGUGGCCCACGCCUGCAAUCCCAGUACUCAGGAGGCUGAGGCAGGGGCAUCACUGUGAAUUUGAGGCCAGCCUGGACUACACAGGGAGUUCAAGAUCACCCUGAACUACAUGGACGAGACCUUGACUCAAAAGCAUAAAGAAAUAAAGACUGCACCCAAGGCACAUGGGGAUACCAAGAUGCCAGGCACAACACUGAAGAAUGGACUAGGAGCAGGAGGAACAGAGGAAAGAAGCCAGGGAAGGAAGAAACGGUGGUUCUCAGGCGGGCGUGGGACCCCUGGGGUGGAAAGCACCACCUGACCUGGAAGCUGUAGUUGGCAUCGUGGUUCAGGGCACCCAUGUACGCCACCACCUGCAGUGGGUUAUCGUAUGUGUUCUGGAGGAAGGGCUUGGCUUCUCUGAUGUCUUCCAGUCGAUCACGCACAGCUUGCCUCUACGAUACCAGAGAAGUAUCUGCAUAUUGGGUCAGACC